AUGUAGCUCAGUGGUAGAGCACUGGCCUGUUGUGCAUGAAACCCUGGGUUUGAUCCCCUGCAU
RNAcentral lists this transfer RNA (63 nucleotides) under Heterocephalus glaber (naked mole-rat). It matches the Rfam family "tRNA", at positions 5 to 66 of the family's 71-position model. Rfam says of the family: Transfer RNA (tRNA) molecules are approximately 80 nucleotides in length. Their secondary structure includes four short double-helical elements and three loops (D, anti-codon, and T loops). Further hydrogen bonds mediate the characteristic L-shaped molecular structure. tRNAs have two regions of fundamental functional importance: the anti-codon, which is responsible for specific mRNA codon recognition, and the 3' end, to which the tRNAs corresponding amino acid is attached (by aminoacyl-tRNA synthetases). tRNAs cope with the degeneracy of the genetic code in two manners: having more than one tRNA (with a specific anti-codon) for a particular amino acid; and 'wobble' base-pairing, i.e. permitting non-standard base-pairing at the 3rd anti-codon position. The record is from Rfam by way of RNAcentral. Lineage: Eukaryota; Metazoa; Chordata; Mammalia; Rodentia; Bathyergidae.